This 533-nucleotide ribosomal RNA is filed under the name uncultured archaeon. RNAcentral's name for it is "bacterial SSU rRNA". It matches the Rfam family "Archaeal small subunit ribosomal RNA", at positions 465 to 997 of the family's 1478-position model. The record is from RNAcentral.
CCGCGGGUAAUACCGGCGGCUCGAGUGGUGGCCACUUUAUUGGGCUUAAAGCGUUCGUAGCUGGGUUAUUAAGCCCUUGGGAAAUCCGACAGCUUAACUGUCGGGCGUCUAAGAGAUACUGGUAAUCUUGGAACCGGGAGAGGUGAGGGGUACUUCGGGGGUAGGAGUGAAAUCCUGUAAUCCUCGAGGGACCACCUGGUGGCGAAGGCGCCUCACCAGAACGGCUUCGACAGUGAGGGACGAAAGCUGGGGGAGCAAACCGGAUUAGAUACCCGGGUAGUCCCAGCCGUAAACGAUGUGCGUUAGGUGUAUCGGUGACCACGAGUCACCGAGGUGCCGAAGGGAAACCGUGAAACGUACCGCCUGGGAAGUACGGUCGCAAGGCUGAAACUUAAGGAAUUGGCGGGGGAGCACCACAACAGGUGGAGCCUGCCGGUUUAAUUGGACUCAACGCCGGAAAUCUCACCGGAUAAGACAGCAGAAUGAUUGCCGGGCUGAAGACUCUGCAUGACUAGCUGAGUAGAGGUGCAUGG